AGAGUUUGAUCCUGGCUCAGGACGAACGCUGGCGGCGUGCUUAACACAUGCAAGUCGAACGGUGACGAGGAGCUUGCUCCUCUGAUCAGUGGCGAACGGGUGAGUAACACGUGAGCAACCUACCCUUGACUCCGGGAUAACAGUUGGAAACAGCUGCUAAUACCGGAUACGACCUCCGCAGGCAUCUGCAGAGGUGGAAAGCUCCGACGGUCAAGGAUGGGCUCGCGGCCUAUCAGCUUGUUGGUGAGGUAACGGCUCACCAAGGCGACGACGGGUAGCCGGCCUGAGAGGGCGACCGGCCACACUGGGACUGAGAUACGGCCCAGACUCCUACGGGAGGCAGCAGUGGGGAAUAUUGCACAAUGGGCGAAAGCCUGAUGCAGCAACGCCGCGUGCGGGAUGACGGCCUUCGGGUUGUAAACCGCUUUCAGCAGGGACGAAGUGAAAAUGACGGUACCUGCAGAAGAAGCACCGGCUAACUACGUGCCAGCAGCCGCGGUGAUACGUAGGGUGCGAGCGUUGUCCGGAAUUAUUGGGCGUAAAGAGCUUGUAGGCGGUCUGUUGCGUCGGAAGUGAAAACUCAGGGCUUAACCCUGAGCCUGCUUUGAUACGGGCAGACUGAGGGAUGUAGGGAGAACGGAUUCCUGUGGAGCGGUGGAAUGCGCAGAUAUCAGGAGGAACACCAGUGGCGAAGGCGGUUCUCUGGACAUUCCUGACGCUGAGAAGCGAAAGCGUGGGGAGCAACAGGCUUAAUACCUGGUAGUCCCGCCGUAACGGUGGGCAUAGGUGUGGGACCCAUUCCACGGGUUCCGUGCCGAAGCUAACGCAUUAAGUGCCCCGCCUGGGGAGUACGGCCGCAAGGCUAAAACUCAAAGGAAUUGACGGGGGCCCGCACAAGCGGCGGAGCAUGCGGAUUAAUUCGAUGCAACGCGAAGAACCUUACCUGGGUUUGACAUAUACCGGAAACAUCUGGAGACAGGUGCCCCGCAAGGUCGGUAUACAGGUGGUGCAUGGCUGUCGUCAGCUCGUGUCGUGAGAUGUUGGGUUAAGUCCCGCAACGAGCGCAACCCUCGUUCUAUGUUGCCAGCGGUUCGGCCGGGAACUCAUAGAAGACUGCCGGGGUCAACUCGGAGGAAGGUGGGGAUGACGUCAAGUCAUCAUGCCCCUUAUGUCCAGGGCUUCACGCAUGCUACAAUGGCUGGUACAAAGGGCUGCAAUACCGCAAGGUGGAGCGAAUCCCAUAAAGCCAGUCUCAGUUCGGAUUGGGGUCUGCAACUCGACCCCAUGAAGUCGGAGUCGCUAGUAAUCGCAGAUCAGCAGCGCUGCGGUGAAUACGUUCCCGGGCCUUGUACACACCGCCCGU
Molecule: ribosomal RNA, 1363 nt
Filed under: uncultured bacterium
Lineage: Bacteria
Description: bacterial SSU rRNA
Rfam family: Bacterial small subunit ribosomal RNA
Source: RNAcentral